This 460-nucleotide ribosomal RNA is filed under the name uncultured bacterium. RNAcentral's name for it is "partial 16S ribosomal RNA". It matches the Rfam family "Bacterial small subunit ribosomal RNA", at positions 338 to 795 of the family's 1533-position model. The record is from RNAcentral.
CCUACGGGCGGCAGCAGUGAGGAAUAUUGGUCAAUGGGCGUAAGCCUGAACCAGCCAAGUCGCGUGAGGGAUGAAGGUCCUAUGGAUCGUAAACCUCUUUUAUAAGGGAGUAAAGUGCGUGACGUAUUCAGUUUUGUAUUUACGUUAUGAAUAAGGAUCGGCUAACUCCGUGCCAGCAGCCGCGGUAAUACGGAGGAUCCGAGCGUUGUCCGGAUUUAUUGGGUUUAAAGGGUGCGUAGGCGGUAUGUUAAGUCAAUGGUGAAAGGCUGUGGCUCAACCGUAGAAUUGCCGUUGAAACUGGGAGGCUUGAGUAUGUUAGAGGCAGGCGGAAUGCGUGGUGUAGCGGUGAAAUGCUUAGAUAUCACGAAGAACACCGAUUGCGAAGGCAGCCUGCCAGCACAUGACUGACGCUGAGGCACGAAAGCGUGGGGAUCAAACAGGAUUAGAUACCCCAGUAGUC